UCAGGAAUCCGGCUGAGAGGUUGGAGUGCCCGAAAGGGAGCCUGAACACAGGUGCUGCAUGGCUGUCGUCAGCUCGUGUCGUGAGAUGUUGGGUUAAGUCCCGCAACGAGCGCAACCCUUGUCGUUAAUUGCCAUCAUUUAGUUGGGCACUUUAAUGAAACUGCCGGUGACAAACCGGAGGAAGGUGGGGAUGACGUCAAGUCCUCAUGGCCCUUAUGGGUAGGGCUUCACACGUCAUACAAUGGUCGGUACAGAGGGUUGCCAACCCGCGAGGGGGAGCUAAUCUCAGAAAGCCGAUCGUAGUCCGGAUCGCAGUCUGCAACUCGACUGCGUGAAGUCGGAAUCGCUAGUAAUCGCGGAUCAGCAUGUCGCGGUGAAUACGU
This 383-nucleotide ribosomal RNA is filed under the name uncultured bacterium. RNAcentral describes it as "bacterial SSU rRNA". It matches the Rfam family "Bacterial small subunit ribosomal RNA", at positions 989 to 1371 of the family's 1533-position model. The record is from RNAcentral.